UACGGAGGGUGCAAGCGUUAUCCGGAUUCACUGGGUUUAAAGGGUGUGUAGGCGGGUAUUUAAGUCAGUGGUGAAAUCUCUGGGCUCAACCCGGAAACUGCCAUUGAUACUAUUAGUCUUGAAUUUUGUUGAGGUAGGCGGAAUAAGUCAUGUAGCGGUGAAAUGCAUAGAUAUGACUUAGAACACCAAUUGCGAAGGCAGCUUGCUAAACAAAUAUUGACGCUGAGGCACGAAAGCGUGGGGAUCAAACAGG
RNAcentral lists this ribosomal RNA (253 nucleotides) under uncultured bacterium. RNAcentral describes it as "partial 16S ribosomal RNA". It matches the Rfam family "Bacterial small subunit ribosomal RNA", at positions 524 to 776 of the family's 1533-position model. The record is from RNAcentral.